AGAGUUUGAUCAUGGCUCAGAUUGAACGCUGGCGGAAUGCUUUACACAUGCAAGUCGAACGGCAGCACGGGGGCAACCCUGGUGGCGAGUGGCGAACGGGUGAGUAAUGUAUCGGAACGUACCCAGUCGUGGGGGAUAACUAUCCGAAAGGAUAGCUAAUACCGCAUACGUCCUGAGGGAGAAAGCGGGGGAUCGCAAGACCUCGCGCGAUUGGAGCGGCCGAUAUCGGAUUAGCUAGUUGGUGAGGUAAAGGCUCACCAAGGCGACGAUCCGUAGCGGGUCUGAGAGGACGACCCGCCACACUGGAACUGAGACACGGUCCAGACUCCUACGGGAGGCAGCAGUGGGGAAUUUUGGACAAUGGGCGCAAGCCUGAUCCAGCCAUUCCGCGUGAGUGAAGAAGGCCUUCGGGUUGUAAAGCUCUUUCAGCGGGGACGAAACGGUCAGCUCUAAUAAAGCUGGCUAAUGACGGUACCUGCAGAAGAAGCACCGGCUAACUACGUGCCAGCAGCCGCGGUAAUACGUAGGGUGCGAGCGUUAAUCGGAAUUACUGGGCGUAAAGCGUGCGCAGGCGGUUCUAUAAGACAGAUGUGAAAUCCCCGGGCUUAACCUGGGAACUGCGUUUGUGACUGUAGGACUUGAGUGUAGCAGAGGGGGGUGGAAUUCCACGUGUAGCAGUGAAAUGCGUAGAGAUGUGGAGGAACACCGAUGGCGAAGGCAGCCCCCUGGGUUAACACUGACGCUCAUGCACGAAAGCGUGGGGAGCAAACAGGAUUAGAUACCCUGGUAGUCC
RNAcentral lists this ribosomal RNA (793 nucleotides) under uncultured bacterium. RNAcentral describes it as "bacterial SSU rRNA". It matches the Rfam family "Bacterial small subunit ribosomal RNA", at positions 8 to 796 of the family's 1533-position model. The record is from RNAcentral.